This is a non-coding RNA of Schistosoma mattheei, 45 nucleotides long. Lineage: Eukaryota; Metazoa; Platyhelminthes; Trematoda; Strigeidida; Schistosomatidae. The record is from Rfam.
AUCCAGAUGACGGGUCCCAAACAGGAUGAAACGCGCGUCCUGGUU